Numida meleagris (helmeted guineafowl) is the source of this 4097-nucleotide long non-coding RNA. RefSeq lists it as uncharacterized. NCBI's taxonomy places the organism in Eukaryota, Metazoa, Chordata, Aves, Galliformes, Numididae. The record is from RefSeq and is a predicted model, not a curated record. The transcript has 2 exons.
UCCCUGGAGGUGCUCUGUGGAUGUGGCACUGAGGGAUGUGGUCAGUGGGCAUGAUGGAGAUGGGCUGGUGGUUGGACUAGGUGAUGUGAUGGACCUUUUCCAACCUUAAUGAUUCUAUGACUCUGUAACAGCGUCCAAGCUUCCAAUAGCAAAUCCAGAUAAGAGUGUGUUGAUGCCUGCCCCUGUCCCUGACCUUGCCUGUCCUUCCCUGCAGCCUGUGACGUGCUGCUGUUCCCACGCUGUAUCCUGAGACAAGUCUUCACCACUGGUAGCAGUGCUGGUAGCACUGGAUGGAGAUGCUGCUCACAGCGAGAAACACUGCUUUCUUCUUGGCUCCAAGCUGGCCACCAGCCCUCCCAGGGCUUUAGGGAACUUAAUACAGGUACACAAAUGUUCUCUGUUGGUCAAAACUGGCCUGUGGCUUUUCAGCAUUGCAGGUAAAAUUGUGCUGAUUCUAGGUUGAGAGCCUGGGCUUAGGCCGUAGAAAGAGGAGGGACAGUCAGAUGUCUUGUUUCUGCUGCCAUUAGCGGAACUGGAGAGGUGUGAUGAGUGACUGCUGUUUGGGGUGACACCAGCCCUUCCUCAAGACAAGAGAGAUUCUUCUGUGCGUGCUCACCAGCUCUGUAUGAGCUGGGUGGCUAAAGAAUGACUAGGCCAUGUCUGUGCAAACGUACUUUUUUUUUUUUUUUUUUGUAUCUCAGACAAAGAGGGCUACCAUAACAUUUCAGCUUCCUUUGAAGGAGGGAGUGGGACCUGAAGGCAUUGGGGUUGUUGCUCACAUAUCACCAUGGCUAACCACAGCCUUAUCCUAACCUCUGCCAGGGCCUCAGGUCAGUUCAACCAGGUAUAGACCAGAAAGGCUCCAGCUCAGCUCCAGCUCUGUUAUGGGUUGUGUCUUGCAGGUCCAACAGCUGUAGAAACAUUUUAAUCACAAGUUUAAGAAGAUGUAGCUUUAGGAGUCGAUCUGUUGAGGAAGCAGGUGCCGAUUUUCCAUAGUUACUUUUAAGAGCCAAAUUGUGCUUGGCUGCUGAUUUUUAGUUUUAAGGCAAUAUUGAGAAUUUAAAAACCCUUCUUUUUUUUUUUCUUUCUUUCUUUUUUUUUUUUAAUUCGAUCCAGCUGGAGCUUGUACUUAACUUUAACUUUUUUUUCUUUUAUUAUUUAAAAUCCUUAAUUAUCUGGGACAAAAUUGGUAAGGAAAUCUGCAGAAUCUAGGGAUUCCACAGAGCUCUCUCUAUAAACACUCAGGCUAUUCACUGGUGCCAAAUAGACAUGUGCCAACUCUGAAACACCCACCCACUCUCUCCUUCUGCCGCAGCAAACUAAUAAGCACAUUGAUUACAUUCAUUUAAAGAAAAGCACUGCUCUUUUAAUCUUUACAUUCCCUAUACUUUAGAUUUCUGAUUACGAGAGAUAUCCUGUUUAUCACACUUUGCAUGGUGAAAAAGCUACUUGACACACCUCAACGCACUAGAUAUUUUAAAAGAAUAUUUUAGAGGAUACCAGUGAGUGGUAGUAGGAGAUAAUUAUCAUUUCCUGCAAGCUGUUGUUGUGCUAUUCGCAAGAUGAACGAGAGGUCUCUUAAAUGUGAUUUUUGUAAAGGUCCCUCGAAUGCCUUCAAUUCCCCCAAACAAAAAUGUUCACAUGCAGUUUCUCUCUUACUUUCCUCUUUCCUUCCCACCCUUUCUACUCCAAAAUCUAGAAGAACUUUGUUAUAGUAAUACAGAUACAUAUAGGUAUAUGUAAAUACGUAAAUGAAAAUAAAAAAUAGGUACCCUAUGUGUGUAUCAUACAUAGAAUCACAGCAUGGUUUGGGUUGGAAGGUCCUCACAGCCCACCUAGCCCCAACCCCUGCUGUGGGCAGGGCUGCCCCCACCAGCUCAGGCUGCCCAGGGCCCCAUCCAACCUGGCCUUGAGCGCCUCCAGGGAUGGGGCACCCCAGCUUCUCUGGGCAAAGUUUAAGCCAAUCUCAGCUCUUCAAAGCAGUGGUUUUCAACUUUUUUUGAUUCAAAAUCUGGCAACAAUUGACCCAAGUUAGGUGUAAGCACCUUGACAAAUUUAACGUGCAUGUUUAUGCAUGUAUCUAUGCCCAUGGACAGACUCGCUUAUCCUGAGCGGAGCGCUGUGGAAAGGCCCCCCUGCUCCAUCAGCCGUUCAUCUGUCUGCAAUUGAGAUCUCCCUGGAGAAGGAUCACAGGAGAUGACCCUUGACCUCUGGAAAUAUGUGCUGACCACAACUACACAGCCUGGGCUCCUCUUUGCUUCUGAAGGGAAAUUCAGCAGUGCUUCCUCAGCCUGGCUGUCCUGGUUUCUCCGAGGAACUUCAGACAGGAGCCUGGAAGGGCUGGACAGAGAGUCCCGAUGGAAAUGCGCCGAAUAGAGUGGACCAGGGAAAAAGUAAAAAACUGUUGAUUUAAUAAAAGUAGAUAAAGAAGGGCACUUCUUUAAGGUCUGAGUGGUCUUCAUGGAGUGAACUUCAGUGUCUGGGAUUCUGAGCUCUCCACGCUGAGUGUUGUUGUCCAUGGGAUGUAGAGACUCACACAUCUGUAAGAGCAGUUGCCACAACCCAAAUAACUUGUGUUGUACGAGUUCCUAAAACCAGCUCUGUUCAUUACCCACCUGGAGCGGAUCCUUCAGGGUUCAAACUUGAGGACCAAAGUCCUGUCUUCACACCAUGCAGUUGUACCUCUACGGCUGAAGUUGGGUUGGUGUUCCCACAGCUUCUCAUUCUUCAGGUUAUUUCCUGUCUGUAUUUCUGGGCCUAUCUGUGUGUCCUCAAUUAUGGACUCAGUUUGGUAGUUUCCUUUAAUACAACUGUUUAUAACUGGCCAGAAACUUGAAUACUUACAGAAAUGUAUCUUAUUUCCCUUAGCUCUGUUGACCUAUUAAUGACUAAAAUAGAUUGAAUUUUUCAGUUAAAUUCAGCUAUAGAUAGAUACCAGAGUAAACCUAUUUCCUUCUCUUUUUUUUUUUAAUCUAUAUCAUUAUGCUAUAUAUGUGCAUUCUCAAUAGCUAUUCUGGUAGACUUUUAAAUGUGGCAUUUACAAAGAAUUCUUGCUAAUAUUUUGACUGCUAAUCAUUUCCCCCCCCCUCAGAAUAGCUUUUCUAAUAGAACUAUUCAGAAAAAGCACUAUCAUCAUAUCACAAUGUACUGUGACAAGGACUGUUCAGCUUCACAUUUUGGUGUUUAAUGUAUUCUCAGCUCUUCACUGUGGAUGGCAAGGGUGACUUGAGUAGCUGAAGGAAAAAAGAUUCGGGACAAAUUGUAGCAAAUCCUCUCUUGCUGUUUUCCAUCUGUUUUUAAGAUAAUUGUGUUUCUGUCCAGCAUCUUCCAGCUGAAGUCUCCUAUGACUGACCUUGGCGAAAUUUCCAUAGACUUUCCAAGAUUUAGUAGAGAUAAUCUCUGUCCUUGGAAAGAAUGGUGCAACCAGCUCACAGAGAAACCAAAAAUAUGCAGAAAUCAUGGCUCACAGUACAAGAUUUUUUAAAAUUAGUUUUAUUUGUUUCUUUAUAUUUUGUGUAAAGCAUAGUUUGUUUCCAGAAACUUAGUUGUGGGUUUAGAUCUAUGCCACAAAUAAAGAACUAAGGAAUACCCUACAUUUUCAAGAGCUGAUGAGGAGCCCUCUAAAGGACUCAAUAGAAACUGAAAAGCAUUGAAUGAAAAGGCAUUUUUCCGAGUCUAAAGGACUUAAUAUAGUUAAGAAAAUAACUGUAUGCUGUAGGACCUUGUUCCUCUUGCUACACAUUUUUCUUGCUAUUCCUGUUGAGACAUCUGACUGCAGUGAUCCUUACAGAGAGGAUUCCCAGAAGGGCUGAAACCUUUCAAAUCUUAUUGCUUAUGCAUUUUCUUGUCUUGACAGAACAAUAUGAAACAGUUGACCUUGCUCAGAGCAAUAUCAUUAAAGCUAAACAAGAUGGCACUUGUACUAGGUGUUGGUCAGGAGCUGUCUGAGGCGCUUUCUGAAAUAUUGUGGAGCAGUAAGAAAAAGGCAAAUGAAAAAAAUGUGAUUCCAGCCUAAUAAUGCUUCUUGUUUUAAAGUGAAUUUGUGGGUCUGUUAAUGUGCCUGUUAAAAAGGAAGAAAUAAAAUGUUGUACAUCUCA